This 446-nucleotide ribosomal RNA is filed under the name uncultured bacterium. Its description in RNAcentral is "partial 16S ribosomal RNA". It matches the Rfam family "Bacterial small subunit ribosomal RNA", at positions 338 to 795 of the family's 1533-position model. The record is from RNAcentral.
CCUACGGGUGGCAGCAGUCGAGAAUCUUUCACAAUGGGGGAAACCCUGAUGGUGCGACGCCGCGUGGGGGAAUGAAGGUCUUCGGAUUGUAAACCCCUGUCAUGUGGGAGCAAAUUAAAAAGAUAGUACCACAAGAGGAAGAGACGGCUAACUCUGUGCCAGCAGCCGCGGUAAUACAGAGGGCUCAAGCGUGGUUCGGAAUCACUGGGCGUAAAGCGUGCGUAGGCGGUUUCGUAAGUAGUGUGUGAAAGGCUGGGGCUCAACCCGCGGACGGCACAUGAAACUGGGAGACUAGAGUAAAGGAGAGGGAGCCGGAAUUCUCGGUGUAGCGGUGAAAUGCGUAGAUAUCGCGAGGAACACUCGUGGCGAAGGCGGGUUCCUGGACUGUAACUGACGCUGAGGCACGAAAGCGAGGGGAGCGAACAGGAUUAGAUACCCGUGUAGUC